AAGUCGUAACAAGGUUUCCGUAGGUGAACCUGCGGAAGGAUCAUUAACACGUAUCCAAACGUUAACCCCCCUGUGAACCUUCAAUGUGCUCGUACACUUUGUCAAAGCGAGGCAAUCCCUGGUAAAUCAUCGCCGAACAGUUUUGAUUCUGGGACUUCCUCAAAGAGUGUGCAUGUUGCGCGAGGCAAGUGGCCUGGCAUUCAUUAGCUGUGUAAGGAUGACGCAGUAACGAUCGUUGGAGGCCGACACGGCCGACGACCGGGUCACCGGGCGCAAGCCCCUUUAUCACCACUUAAUGCAUGACAGACGCGCCAGCGCUUAAUUGUGCGGCGACCAAAAACCGAACAACUGUUAACAAUGGAUAUCUUGGUUCUC
RNAcentral lists this unclassified non-coding RNA (375 nucleotides) under fungal sp. Its description in RNAcentral is "partial internal transcribed spacer region". The stretch from base 1 to 46 matches the Rfam family "Eukaryotic small subunit ribosomal RNA", at positions 1786 to 1831 of the family's 1831-position model. The record is from RNAcentral. Lineage: Eukaryota; Fungi.